This is a long non-coding RNA of Drosophila mojavensis, 954 nucleotides long. RefSeq lists it as uncharacterized. The transcript is spliced from 2 exons. NCBI's taxonomy places the organism in Eukaryota, Metazoa, Arthropoda, Insecta, Diptera, Drosophilidae. The record is from RefSeq and is a predicted model, not a curated record.
UCUCUUUCUCUCUCUCUAUUUACUCUUUUAUAUCUGUGCACUGUCAAUAUCUAUUUAAAGUCUGCUCAUCGCACAAAGUCACAUUCACACCUCGCAACACGCUAAUUCGAUGAACUUCAUUCAUGAGCUGUUGCGGCUUCUGUUUCAGCUUUUUCUCUUGUUUCUUGUUGCUGUCGGUUUUAGCCAGGUGUAAAGCUAAAGCCAAGUUCAAGUCACACACACUAACUCAUCUCACUCAGAUCACACACAGUCACACUCCAGCUUUCAAAAAUUUAGACAUUAAUUGACAGUUGAAAUUAAAAUUGAAAAUGUAUCCAACAAAAGUUGGCCUUAAAUUUACAAAAUAAAUAUUUAAAGACACUUCCUUGACGUUCUACGGCGAAUGGCAAUUACUUAAGCAAACAUUGUUUUAACAUUUCCCGUAAAUAAUCUGAUGCCUUUCCACAAAUGAGGCGCUAAAUUCGGCUAAUUUGUGAAGCUAAGCAACCGCGCGACAUGCAAACAGCAUUUAAAACUUGUCUUGUAUGCCAUUAAAAAGAAGAAGAAGAAGAAGAAGAAGAAGAAGAAGAAGUAGUAGUAUGAAAGCAGAAUGAAAUAAAUAAACCUAGUUCUCCAAAUACCCGGGGUAGAAACUUUUCUGAUAGCCUUUCAACAUGGCGGGGCAUGGCAGCUAUGGCGACGUCUGUUCGUGUUGCACCCGCGGGUGCUGCUUAACCCGGCCAACUUUAUGGCACCCACCGAAAAGUCAGCAGACGUACAAAAAGUUGCGACCAUGCCCCCGUAUCUGGCUCGCAACGACGACGACGACAACUGUCUUUUAUGUUGCCUAAAAACUUGUAAAAUAGUUGCGCCACGCCCCGUUUGCCGCAUAAUUUUGAGCAAAUGUAAAUAUUUUGUGCAAAUAAAUAGAAGCAAGUUUUAUGUACGUGCUGCAAGCUGCAUGUAGCACGAAAA